This 265-nucleotide ribosomal RNA is filed under the name uncultured bacterium. Its description in RNAcentral is "partial 16S ribosomal RNA". It matches the Rfam family "Bacterial small subunit ribosomal RNA", at positions 524 to 776 of the family's 1533-position model. The record is from RNAcentral.
UACGGAGGGUGCAAGCGUUGUUCGGAAUUAUUGGGCGUAAAGCGCGUGCAGGCGGUUGCUUAAGUCUGAUGUGAAAGCCCUGGGCGUCAACCCGGGAACGGUGCAUUGGUAAACGUAGGGCGAACUUAGUAGUACGGGAGAGGAUAGUGGAAUUACCGACGUGUAGGGGUGGAAAUACCGUGAUAUUCGGAGGAACACCGGUGGCGAAGGCGGCUAUCUGGACCGAUACUGACGCUGAGACGCGAAAGCGUGGGUAGCAAACAGG